RNAcentral lists this ribosomal RNA (2932 nucleotides) under Salmonella enterica subsp. enterica. RNAcentral describes it as "bacterial LSU rRNA". It matches the Rfam family "Bacterial large subunit ribosomal RNA". RNAcentral also lists the same sequence under 1 other name. The record is from RNAcentral. Lineage: Bacteria; Pseudomonadati; Pseudomonadota; Gammaproteobacteria; Enterobacterales; Enterobacteriaceae.
GGGUUGUGAGGUUAAGCGACCAAGCGUACACGGUGGAUGCCCUGGCAGUCAGAGGCGAUGAAGGACGUGCUAAUCUGCGAAAAGCGCCGGUAAGGUGAUAUGAACCGUUAUAACCGGCGAUGUCCGAAUGGGGAAACCCAGUGUGACUCGUCACACUAUCAUUAACUGAAUCCAUAGGUUAAUGAGGCGAACCGGGGGAACUGAAACAUCUAAGUACCCCGAGGAAAAGAAAUCAACCGAGAUUCCCCCAGUAGCGGCGAGCGAACGGGGAGGAGUCCAGAGCCUGAAUCAGCAUGUGUGUUAGUGGAAGCGUCUGGAAAGGCGCGCGAUACAGGGUGAGAGCCCCGUACACAAAAGCGCAUAUGCUGUGAGCUCGAUGAGUAGGGCGGGACACGUGGUAUCCUGUCUGAAUAUGGGGGGACCAUCCUCCAAGGCUAAAUACUCCUGACUGACCGAUAGUGAACCAGUACCGUGAGGGAAAGGCGAAAAGAACCCCGGCGAGGGGAGUGAAACAGAACCUGAAACCGUGUACGUACAAGCAGUGGGAGCCUCUCUUUAUGGGGGUGACUGCGUACCUUUGUAUAAUGGGUCAGCGACUUAUAUUCUGUAGCAAGGUUAACCGCAUAGGGGAGCCGAAGGAAACCGAGUCUUAACCGGGCGUUAAGUUGCAGGGUAUAGACCCGAAACCCGGUGAUCUAGCCAUGGGCAGGUUGAAGGUUGGGUAACACUAACUGGAGGACCGAACCGACUAAUGUUGAAAAAUUAGCGGAUGACCUGUGGCUGGGGGUGAAAGGCCAAUCAAACCGGGAGAUAGCUGGUUCUCCCCGAAAGCUAUUUAGGUAGCGCCUCGUGAACUCAUCUCCGGGGGUAGAGCACUGUUUCGGCUAGGGGGCCAUCCCGGCUUACCAACCCGAUGCAAACUGCGAAUACCGGAGAAUGUUAUCACGGGAGACACACGGCGGGUGCUAACGUCCGUCGUGAAGAGGGAAACAACCCAGACCGCCAGCUAAGGUCCCAAAGUCAUGGUUAAGUGGGAAACGAUGUGGGAAGGCCCAGACAGCCAGGAUGUUGGCUUAGAAGCAGCCAUCAUUUAAAGAAAGCGUAAUAGCUCACUGGUCGAGUCGGCCUGCGCGGAAGAUGUAACGGGGCUAAACCAUGCACCGAAGCUGCGGCAGCGACACUUUAGUGUUGUUGGGUAGGGGAGCGUUCUGUAAGCCGUUGAAGGUGUCCUGUGAGGGGUGCUGGAGGUAUCAGAAGUGCGAAUGCUGACAUAAGUAACGAUAAAGCGGGUGAAAAGCCCGCUCGCCGGAAGACCAAGGGUUCCUGUCCAACGUUAAUCGGGGCAGGGUGAGUCGACCCCUAAGGCGAGGCCGAAAGGCGUAGUCGAUGGGAAACGGGUUAAUAUUCCCGUACUUGGUGUUACUGCGAAGGGGGGACGGAGAAGGCUAUGUUGGCCGGGCGACGGUUGUCCCGGUUUAAGCGUGUAGGUGUGUGUUCCAGGCAAAUCCGGUUCACUUUAACACUGAGGCGUGAUGACGAGGCACCACGGUGCUGAAGCAACAAAUGCCCUGCUUCCAGGAAAAGCCUCUAAGCAUCAGGUAACAUCAAAUCGUACCCCAAACCGACACAGGUGGUCAGGUAGAGAAUACCAAGGCGCUUGAGAGAACUCGGGUGAAGGAACUAGGCAAAAUGGUGCCGUAACUUCGGGAGAAGGCACGCUGACACGUAGGUGAAGUGAUUUACUCACGGAGCUGAAGUCAGUCGAAGAUACCAGCUGGCUGCAACUGUUUAUUAAAAACACAGCACUGUGCAAACACGAAAGUGGACGUAUACGGUGUGACGCCUGCCCGGUGCCGGAAGGUUAAUUGAUGGGGUCAGCGCAAGCGAAGCUCCUGAUCGAAGCCCCGGUAAACGGCGGCCGUAACUAUAACGGUCCUAAGGUAGCGAAAUUCCUUGUCGGGUAAGUUCCGACCUGCACGAAUGGCGUAAUGAUGGCCAGGCUGUCUCCACCCGAGACUCAGUGAAAUUGAACUCGCUGUGAAGAUGCAGUGUACCCGCGGCAAGACGGAAAGACCCCGUGAACCUUUACUAUAGCUUGACACUGAACAUUGAGCCUUGAUGUGUAGGAUAGGUGGGAGGCUUUGAAGCGUGGACGCCAGUCUGCGUGGAGCCAACCUUGAAAUACCACCCUUUAAUGUUUGAUGUUCUAACGUGGACCCGUAAUCCGGGUUGCGGACAGUGUCUGGUGGGUAGUUUGACUGGGGCGGUCUCCUCCUAAAGAGUAACGGAGGAGCACGAAGGUUGGCUAAUCCUGGUCGGACAUCAGGAGGUUAGUGCAAUGGCAUAAGCCAGCUUGACUGCGAGCGUGACGGCGCGAGCAGGUGCGAAAGCAGGUCAUAGUGAUCCGGUGGUUCUGAAUGGAAGGGCCAUCGCUCAACGGAUAAAAGGUACUCCGGGGAUAACAGGCUGAUACCGCCCAAGAGUUCAUAUCGACGGCGGUGUUUGGCACCUCGAUGUCGGCUCAUCACAUCCUGGGGCUGAAGUAGGUCCCAAGGGUAUGGCUGUUCGCCAUUUAAAGUGGUACGCGAGCUGGGUUUAGAACGUCGUGAGACAGUUCGGUCCCUAUCUGCCGUGGGCGCUGGAAGACUGAGGGGGGCUGCUCCUAGUACGAGAGGACCGGAGUGGACGCAUCACUGGUGUUCGGGUUGUCAUGCCAAUGGCACUGCCCGGUAGCUAAAUGCGGAAAAGAUAAGUGCUGAAAGCAUCUAAGCACGAAACUUGCCCCGAGAUGAGUCUUCCCUGAGACUUUGAGUCUCCUGAAGGAACGUUAAAGACGAUGACGUUGAUAGGCCGGGUGUGUAAGCGCAGCGAUGCGUUGAGCUAACCGGUACUAAUGAACCGUGAGGCUUAACCUUACAACGCCGAAGCUGUU